AGUGGGAUAGCUGGGUCAAAUGGUGGUUCCAUUUCAAGUUUUCAAAGGAGUCUCCAUACUGCUUUCCAGAGUGGUUGCACCAAUUUGCAGUCCCACCAACAAU
Molecule: microRNA precursor, 103 nt
Filed under: Marmota monax (woodchuck)
Lineage: Eukaryota; Metazoa; Chordata; Mammalia; Rodentia; Sciuridae
Source: RNAcentral